CAAACGGCCCUUUUCAGGGCCACCAAUUUAUCUUGAAAAAAGGAAU
Daphnia pulex (common water flea) is the source of this 46-nucleotide non-coding RNA. The record is from Rfam. Lineage: Eukaryota; Metazoa; Arthropoda; Branchiopoda; Diplostraca; Daphniidae.